AACACAUGCAAGUCGAGGGGAAACGACAUCGAAAGCUUGCUUUUGAUGGGCGUCGACCGGCGCACGGGUGAGUAACGCGUAUCCAACCUGCCCACCACUUGGGGAUAACCUUGCGAAAGUAAGACUAAUACCCAAUGACGUCUCUAGAAGACAUCUGAAAGAGAUUAAAGAUUUAUCGGUGAUGGAUGGGGAUGCGUCUGAUUAGCUUGUUGGCGGGGUAACGGCCCACCAAGGCAACGAUCAGUAGGGGUUCUGAGAGGAAGGUCCCCCACAUUGGAACUGAGACACGGUCCAAACUCCUACGGGAGGCAGCAGUGAGGAAUAUUGGUCAAUGGACGAGAGUCUGAACCAGCCAAGUAGCGUGCAGGAUGACGGCCCUAUGGGUUGUAAACUGCUUUUAUAAGGGAAUAAAGUGAGUCUCGUGAGAUUUUUUGCAUGUACCUUAUGAAUAAGGACCGGCUAAUUCCGUGCCAGCAGCCGCGGUAAUACGGAAGGUCCGGGCGUUAUCCGGAUUUAUUGGGUUUAAAGGGAGCGUAGGCCGGAGAUUAAGCGUGUUGUGAAAUGUAGACGCUCAACGUCUGCACUGCAGCGCGAACUGGUUUCCUUGAGUACGCACAAAGUGGGCGGAAUUCGUGGUGUAGCGGUGAAAUGCUUAGAUAU
Molecule: ribosomal RNA, 660 nt
Filed under: uncultured bacterium
Lineage: Bacteria
Description: bacterial SSU rRNA
Rfam family: Bacterial small subunit ribosomal RNA
Source: RNAcentral